GAUGAACGCUGGCGGCGUGCCUAAUACAUGCAAGUCGAGCGAACGGACGAGAAGCUUGCGUCUCUGAUGUUAGCGGCGGACGGGUGAGUAACACGUGGAUAACCUACCUAUAAGACUGGGAUAACUUCGGGAAACCGUAGCUAAUACCGGAGAAUAUUUUGAACCGCAGGGUUCAAAAGUGAAAGACGGUCUUGCUGUCACUUAUAGAUGGAUCCGCGCUGCAUUAGCUAGUUGGUAAGGUAACGGCUUACCAAGGCAACGAUGCAUAGCCGACCUGAGAGGGUGAUCGGCCACACUGGAACUGAGACACGGUCCAGACUCCUACGGGAGGCAGCAGUAGGGAAUCUUCCGCAAUGGGCGAAAGCCUGACGGAGCCAGGCCGCGUGAGUGAUGAAGGUCUUCGGAUCGUAAAGCUCUGUUAUUAGGGAAGAACAUAUGUGUAAGUAACUGUGGCCAUCUUGACGGUACCUAAUCAGAAAGCCCCGGCUAACUACGUG
RNAcentral lists this ribosomal RNA (497 nucleotides) under uncultured bacterium. RNAcentral's name for it is "partial 16S ribosomal RNA". It matches the Rfam family "Bacterial small subunit ribosomal RNA", at positions 28 to 507 of the family's 1533-position model. The record is from RNAcentral.